ACGGAAGGCAGCAGUGGGGAAUAUUAGGCAAUGGGGGAAACCCUGACCUAGCAACGCCGCGUGAAGGAAGAAGGCUUUCGGAUUGUAAACUUCUUUUACCAGGGACGAAGGACGUGACGGUAUCUGGAGAAAAACCCACGGCUAACUACGUCCCAGCAGCCGCGGUAAUACGUAGGUGGCAACCGUGGUCCGGAUUUACUGGGUGUAAAGGGCGGGUAGGCGGAGCAGCAAGUCAGAAGUGAAAUCUCGGGGCUCAACCCCGAAACUGCUUUUGAAGCUGUUGCACUUGAGUAUCGGAGAGGCAGGCGGAAUUCCUAGUGUAGCGGUGAAAUGCGUAGAUAUUAGGAAGAACACCGGUGGCGAAGGCGGCCUGCUGGACGACAACUGACGCUGAGGCGCGAAAGCGUGGGGAGCAAACAGGAUUAGAUACCCUGGUA
This 437-nucleotide ribosomal RNA is filed under the name uncultured Oscillospiraceae bacterium. RNAcentral's name for it is "partial 16S ribosomal RNA". It matches the Rfam family "Bacterial small subunit ribosomal RNA", at positions 341 to 792 of the family's 1533-position model. Lineage: Bacteria; Bacillati; Bacillota; Clostridia; Eubacteriales; Oscillospiraceae. The record is from RNAcentral.